UACGUAGGAUCCAAGCGUUGUCCGGAUUUACUGGGUGUAAAGGGUGCGCAGGCGGACUUGUAAGUCAGAGGUGAAAUCUCUCCGCUCAACGGAGAAACUGCCUUUGAGACUGCAGGUCUUGAAUCCGGGAGAGAGUUGUGGAAUUCCGAGUGUAGCAGUGAAAUGUGUAGAUAUUCGGAAGAACACCAGCGGCGAAGGCAGCAACUUGGCCCGCGAUUGACGCUCAGGCACGAAAGCAUGGGGAUCAAACAGG
RNAcentral lists this ribosomal RNA (253 nucleotides) under uncultured prokaryote. RNAcentral describes it as "partial 16S ribosomal RNA". It matches the Rfam family "Bacterial small subunit ribosomal RNA", at positions 524 to 776 of the family's 1533-position model. The record is from RNAcentral.